This is a long non-coding RNA of Mustela erminea (ermine), 202 nucleotides long. RefSeq lists it as uncharacterized. NCBI's taxonomy places the organism in Eukaryota, Metazoa, Chordata, Mammalia, Carnivora, Mustelidae. The transcript has 3 exons. The record is from RefSeq and is a predicted model, not a curated record.
AGACAGCUAGAUAAUUAUCAAAUCACUCUAAAUACCCAGGAAAUUGACCUGAGAAUUACCAGGAAAAAAUGCAAAAUUAGAUAGAGAGAAGAGGUCAUAUCUAGGGAGACAGGAAGUGCAGAGACAUGGUUGGGGGAGAAACAGAUCAUGGGUGCUGUGGAGGGGAGGGAACCCUGGUCGUAGGGAGAAAGAGAGAUAAAGA